GUGUGCGCGCUUCAGGGCCAGUUUCAGCGGAACGCUCUGCUUUCUGCUUACUGCUAAAUCCUCCUUCUAGAUACACGUUUCAGUAUUAUUAUUCGUGAUUCGCUGUGAUAGGGAAUGUAGCCCAUUUCUUCCCUUUCCAUACGCUACACCUCGACCUGACGUUUUGGGUUGUACCAAUUAAGCUUACUAGGGGGCCUUCACAGGGUAAGCUGGCGACGGCGGUAUAUAGGCGGGGUUGACUAGGAAAGGUGAGGUUAAACGGGGGUAAUCGGUUAUAGAACAGGCUCCUCUAGAUGGGUCUAAAGCACCGCCAAGUCCUUUGGGUUUUAAGCUGUUGCUCGUAGUUUCUCAGGCGGAUAGGGGUUGU
This 367-nucleotide ribosomal RNA is filed under the name Epinephelus irroratus. RNAcentral describes it as "partial 12S ribosomal RNA". The record is from RNAcentral. Lineage: Eukaryota; Metazoa; Chordata; Actinopteri; Perciformes; Serranidae.